RNAcentral lists this ribosomal RNA (22 nucleotides) under Satyrium odorum. Its description in RNAcentral is "partial 26S ribosomal RNA". RNAcentral also lists the same sequence under 9 other names. The record is from RNAcentral. Lineage: Eukaryota; Viridiplantae; Streptophyta; Magnoliopsida; Asparagales; Orchidaceae.
GCGACCCCAGGAUGGGCGGGGU